UAAGCCCGGAAGAGCCUGGUUAGUAUUGCGGUGGGUGACCACGUGAGAAUCCCGGGUAAUGCAUUUA
RNAcentral lists this ribosomal RNA (67 nucleotides) under Neolecta irregularis DAH-3. The record is from RNAcentral. Lineage: Eukaryota; Fungi; Ascomycota; Neolectomycetes; Neolectales; Neolectaceae.